This 511-nucleotide long non-coding RNA is filed under the name Salvia miltiorrhiza (redroot sage). RNAcentral's name for it is "long non-coding RNA (SMIL_LNC002818)". Lineage: Eukaryota; Viridiplantae; Streptophyta; Magnoliopsida; Lamiales; Lamiaceae. The record is from RNAcentral.
GCUUACCAACCAUGGGGUCGCCCAUUGCUUCCAUGAUUAUAAACUUCUUAAUAUGAGUGGGUGGUAGAGAAUGAGGUGACAAUAAAAGAUUUAACACUUUUUUUUAAUUGCGAUUUUAUUAAAAAGGAAAGAAAAAAACCUAAAGAAAAACCCUUGAAAGCACAAGAAGAGCAGACUAAGGGCCGGACCUCUUUAAAACAUUUUUACGGAAAAUCCAGUGGAAAAAACCGUAAAAAGGAAAAAGAGUACCCGUCUAAAAGAGAGGGGAGAGCGGAACUCCGGCCUAACCAUCGUCCCCAAACAAUUCCAGCUCUCCCCCAAAAAAACAAAAGAAUAGUGGUAAAUGGCCCGUGAGACGCCGUCGCCAAAAAACCAAACCAGAGAAAGCUAAACGGCCGGUUAGACUCCGUCGCCAUUAGCACAAACAAGAAAACCCAAACAAACAAAGGAAUACUAUUUAACACUAUAUCUUGUAAUUUUGAUUGAACUCGGCAAUAAUUGAGAUUAAGUA